ACAAACGCGAUGAUUGGAAGCAGUAAGGUAACUCCGGGAUAAGAGAGCUGCGGCUAUGGUGCGACGCAGUCGAAGGAGACCUGAACUCGUCCGGGAGCGGAGCGGUGGAAGCAGGGUACUUCUGAAUAGGAGUGCUGGCCGGUGCAGAAUGUAGACCGGGCCCUUUCGUACACCGUUACGGUUGACCUCCGUAAGAGGGUUGUUGAGUGGAUACCGCAGGCGCAGCAGCACAACCGCUGAUCCGGGUAUCAACAAGAGUGGUACCGCGAGGGUGAACAACCUGUCGUCUCUUGA
RNAcentral lists this non-coding RNA (294 nucleotides) under Paenibacillus sp. Its description in RNAcentral is "T-box sequence". It matches the Rfam family "T-box leader". From Rfam's summary of the family: Uncharged tRNA acts as the effector for transcription antitermination of genes in the T-box leader family. The record is from RNAcentral. Lineage: Bacteria; Bacillati; Bacillota; Bacilli; Caryophanales; Paenibacillaceae.